GAGUUGUGAGAUCUUUCGAGAUUUCAAGGCUUCUUAGGACUUAUCUUUUAAUUUCUUACUGUCAAUUCUUUCUUUAUUUCUACUUGUGCUGAAUCAUUAUCAAAUCUAUUUUCUGUUCUUAUUGUGUUUUCAGCCUUUUUCUAUCUUAAGGAAUCAGCCCAAAAAUCCCCAAUUUCUAGGGUUUUUCUAUACUCUUUUUGGAUGAAAUUAGAUUGUCGAAAUUUGGGGAAAACUAUCUUGGUGUUCAAUUGGGCAGAAUCACAAUCUCCUUGAGGGUUUCAAGAACCCUAACACUUAUUUCUAUUCUCUAUUUGAUUCUUUACUGUUUUGGGGAUUUUAUUUCAGAUCUGAAAAUUCAAAAAUCUAAUCUUUUAAUUUUCUGUUUUCGUUUCAGAUCUAAUUGUUUAGGGUUUUUGUAGGAGUUUCCCGUGACUUGGCAACUCGAUCUUGGUCCGCG
Molecule: long non-coding RNA, 457 nt
Filed under: Gossypium barbadense (sea-island cotton)
Lineage: Eukaryota; Viridiplantae; Streptophyta; Magnoliopsida; Malvales; Malvaceae
Description: long non-coding RNA (GBAR_LNC007842)
Source: RNAcentral